GCAGACCCUCCCCUCUCCCCUCCAGCCUGGACACGCCCGCCUCCCCUUGACUCCCCCCAGCUCUGGGCCCCCACCUCCCCUCCCCUCCAGCACAGUCACCCCCAUUUCUCUCCUAUCCGCCAUCCUGGUUCCUCCCUUCCCCCCACCUCCCAACUCUGUGCCCCGCCAACGUUUCCUAAAUGCCCUCUAUUCAGAUCCCCCCUCCGCCUCCCCUCUCCUCUCCUCCAUUCCUGCGUCCCCCUUCCCCCGCCGCGCCGCCUGGGCUGUCCGUGGACUUCUCCCACUCUCUCACUCUCUCACUCACUCUCUCUCUCUCUCUCUCUCUCUCACUCUCUCUCUCUCUCUCCCCCUCAUUUAUUUGGAACCGUUGGAUAAGAAGUGCUCGGGCUCUCGCUCAGACUUAGGGAGCUGCCUCGAGGUGAUGAAUGACACCCCCUGGCACCAGCUACCCUUCUCAGACCCCAGUCCAGCCCGCUCCCGACGUCGACUACGAUUCCGCUACCUCGGCUGGCAGCGAGGUUGGGGUGAGCCCCAGCUGCAGGCGCGUCUGGGCUGCGCCGCUGCAAACGAGUUGCGCACCUUGGGCGGCUCCGCACCUGCACCCGCACCCGCGGGGCUCAGCCCCGAAGGCUGCAGCUUCGGGGGAGGCGCGGUCGCCGAGGUCCAGCUGGUGGGGCGAGAGACGUCGCCCCUCGGAGGAUGCUCUCGGAACUUGGGAGAGGAAGGAGGGAAGAGAAGAGGGGAAAGGGGCCGUCGAUGUUUUUGAUGUCUGUGCUUUAAUGGAGGCCACCAAUAUUGAGAAGACGGGGUUGGCCGAGGCAGCCCGCACGCUGCUGCUUGCGAGCGCUCGAGUCAAAGCUAGGGCCAACCGCGGCUUGUCCGGGUGCCCUAAGGGGGCGGACACUUGGUUUAGCACCGGGACACAGAAUAGCCACCGGGGUAGGAAGAUGCGUUCACUUUGCUUACCUGUUGGCAAGAGGGACAUACAAAAAUAACGUAACGUGACAUCGUUGACAACGGUAGCUCUUUGAUUACACAAAAGCCAAUUUUACCUUCCCGCAAAAGCCAGUUGACGCCUUUGGAACUUUUAUUUGCGGCAUUUUGGCGCCCUCUGGCUGUGUUUGGAUCGCUUUCAUGCUCGCCUGCGUCCCAGCCAAGAAAAAAUCGAUGGAGCUGCAGGUUGUCCUCAGGAUGGUUCUGCCCUCAGGACCUGGGCGUGAAUUCAGGGACAGGGUGGCCCUCCAGAACCGGAGUGACAAACUGUAACCAUACUUAGGGAGGCAGACGUCAAAGGCAAGUACAUCUGUAUUCAACUGGGUAAAGCCAUGUGAAGACGUGCCUGCCUCCCUGUUACCUUCCACCAUGAUUGUAAGCUUCCUGAGGCCUCCCCAGCCAUGCCUGCUGUAUAGCCUGCAGAACAAUGAAGUCCCGCUCUGUCGCCCAGGCUGGAGUGCAAUGGCAAGAUCAAUCUCAGCUCAGUGCAACCUUCACCUCCCGGGUUCAAGCAAUCCUCCUGCCUCAGACUCCCAAGUUGCUGGGAUUACAGAGCCCUGGGGAUGUCUGGUGGCAGCAGGAGGCUGAAUUCCUAUUCUAAGUUGCUUCCAACAAAUUGUAUUCCGUCUACAUCUGUGCAAGUUAAGUGUGUUAGUACUGACGUGGCAUGGAUUUGUUAAUCAUUUUAAUGUUUGAUAGACUGAUAAUACAUAAUGUUAAUGUUAAAUAUUAAAUGUAAUGGGUUUUGUUUGUUUUUUGAGACGGAGUUUCACUCUUGUUGCCCAGGCUGGAGUGCAGUGGCGCAAUCUCAGCUCGCUGCAACCUCUGCCUCCCGGGUCCAAGCAAUUCUCCAGCCUCAGCCUCCCGAGUAGCUAGGAUUACAGGUGACUGCCACUACACUCAGCUAAUUUUUUUGUAUUUUUAGUAAAAACGGGGUUUCACCAUGUUGGCCAGGCUGUUUUUGAACUCCUGGCCUCAAGCAAUCCACCUGUCUCAGCCUCCCAAAAUUCUAGGAUAACAGGCGUGAGCCACCAUGCCUGGCCUAAAUGCAAUGUUUAAACUAAGUAUACAAUGUUAAUGUUAAAGUGUUUUCUUAAUUGCUUUUUUUUUUUUUUUUUUUUGAGAUAGGGUAUUUCUCUGUCCCCCAGGCUGGAGUGCAGUAGCAGUAAUCACAGCUCACUGCAGUCUUGAAAUCCUGGGCUAAAACAAUCCUCCCACCUCAGCCUCCAACAUGGCUAGAAUUACAGGUGUGAACCACCACACUCUGCCAGAUACUUUUUCACUGGAAAGAAUAUAGAAACAAAAACUAGAAACAAAAUAUUCCAAGCCUUUUGCAAGAGAGGAGUCUCUAGGAUGGGACUGUGUCUGGAGCUGGUUCCUUCCAGUGGGUC
This 2384-nucleotide long non-coding RNA is filed under the name Homo sapiens (human). RNAcentral describes it as "non-protein coding BASP1-AS1:23". The record is from RNAcentral. Lineage: Eukaryota; Metazoa; Chordata; Mammalia; Primates; Hominidae.